This 518-nucleotide ribosomal RNA is filed under the name Hansenula anomala. RNAcentral's name for it is "eukaryotic LSU rRNA". It matches the Rfam family "Eukaryotic large subunit ribosomal RNA", at positions 100 to 631 of the family's 3401-position model. Lineage: Eukaryota; Fungi; Ascomycota; Saccharomycetes; Phaffomycetales; Wickerhamomycetaceae. The record is from RNAcentral.
GGCAAAAGCUCAAAUUUGAAAUYUAGCACCUUCGGUGUUCGAGUUGUAAUUUGAAGAUGGUAACCUUGGGUUUGGCUCUUGUCUAUGUUCCUUGGAACAGGACGUCAUAGAGGGUGAGAAUCCCGUCUGAUGAGAUGCCCAUUCCUAUSUAAGGUKCUAUYGAAGAGUCGAGUUGUUUGGGAAUGCAGCUCUAAGUGGGUGGUAAAUUCCAUCUAAAGCUAAAUAUUGGCGAGAGACCGAUAGCGAACAAGUACAGUGAUGGAAAGAUGAAAAGAACUUUGAAAAGAGAGUGAAAAAGUACGUGAAAUUGUYGAAAGGGAAGGGCAUUAGAUCAGACUUGGUGUUUUACGAUUAUCUUCUCUUCUUGAGUUGUGCACUCGUAUUUCACUGGGCCAGCAUCGAUUCGGAUGSCAAGAUAAUGGCAGUUGAAUGUGGCUUCACUUCGGUGGAGUGUUAUAGCUUCUGCUGAUAUUGCCUGUCUGGAUCGAGGGCUGCGUCUUUUGACUAGGAUGCUGGCG